CGAACGCUGGCGGCGUGCCUCAUACAUGCAAGUAGAACGCUGAAGGAGGAGCUUGCUCUUCUGGAUGAGUUGCGAACGGGUGAGUAACGCGUAGGUAACCUGCCUGGUAGCGGGGGAUAACUAUUGGAAACGAUAGCUAAUACCGCAUAACAGUAGAUGUUGCAUGACAUUUACUUAAAAGGUGCAAUUGCAUCACUACCAGAUGGACCUGCGUUGUAUUAGCUAGUUGGUGGGGUAACGGCUCACCAAGGCGACGAUACAUAGCCGACCUGAGAGGGUGAUCGGCCACACUGGGACUGUGACACGGCCCAGACUCCUACGGGAGGCAGCAGUAGGGAAUCUUCGGCAAUGGACGGAAGUCUGACCGAGCAACGCCGCGGGAGUGAAGAAGGUUGUCGGAUCGUAAAGCUCGGUUGUAAGAGAAGAACGAGUGUGAGAGUGGAAAGUUCACACUGUGACGGUAGCUUACCAGAAAGGGACGGCUAACUACGUG
Molecule: ribosomal RNA, 493 nt
Filed under: uncultured bacterium
Lineage: Bacteria
Description: partial 16S ribosomal RNA
Rfam family: Bacterial small subunit ribosomal RNA
Source: RNAcentral